Molecule: small nucleolar RNA, 107 nt
Organism: Lactuca sativa (garden lettuce)
Lineage: Eukaryota; Viridiplantae; Streptophyta; Magnoliopsida; Asterales; Asteraceae
Source: RefSeq, a predicted model, not a curated record
AGGUCACUUUGAGGACAAUUCCUUAGCAACUCCUUAUAACGCUCCCAUGCCUCAUAAAGUGAUUCACCCAAAUUUUUCUCAAAGUCGGCUAUUGCCUUCUUGAGUUU